GGGCCCUUAGUUUUAAUUGGUAGAACGCCGCAUUUGCACUGCGGAGGUUGGGAGUUCGAGUCUCCCAGGGUCCA
RNAcentral lists this transfer RNA (74 nucleotides) under Candidatus Parcubacteria bacterium. RNAcentral describes it as "tRNA-Ala". It matches the Rfam family "tRNA". From Rfam's summary of the family: Transfer RNA (tRNA) molecules are approximately 80 nucleotides in length. Their secondary structure includes four short double-helical elements and three loops (D, anti-codon, and T loops). Lineage: Bacteria; Candidatus Parcubacteria. The record is from RNAcentral.